RNAcentral lists this ribosomal RNA (493 nucleotides) under uncultured bacterium. RNAcentral's name for it is "partial 16S ribosomal RNA". It matches the Rfam family "Bacterial small subunit ribosomal RNA", at positions 28 to 507 of the family's 1533-position model. The record is from RNAcentral.
GACGAACGCUGGCGGCGUGCCUAACACAUGCAAGUUGAGCGACGAACCAGGGCUUGCCCUGGGGCAAAGCAGCGAACGGGUGAGUAACACGUGGGUAACCUACCCCGAUAACCGGGACAACCCGAGGAAACUCGGGCUAAUACCGGAUGUGCUCACUGGACUUCGGUUCAGAGCGUAAAGGAAGCUUCGGCCUCCGUAUCGGGAGGGGCCCGCGGCCCAUUAGUUUGUUGGUGAGGUAACGGCUCACCAAGACCGCGAUGGGUAGCUGGUCUGAGAGGACGAUCAGCCACACUGGGACUGAGACACGGCCCAGACUCCUACGGGAGGCAGCAGUGGGGAAUCUUGCGCAAUGCGCGAAAGCGUGACGCAGCAACGCCGCGUGGGGGAAGAAGGCCUUCGGGUUGUAAACCCCUUUCAGGAGGGACGAAGGUUCGGCGGUGAAUAGCCGUCCGGACUGACGGUACCUCCACAAGAAGCCCCGGCUAACUACGUG